This is a long non-coding RNA of Solea solea (common sole), 416 nucleotides long. RefSeq lists it as uncharacterized. The transcript is spliced from 3 exons. NCBI's taxonomy places the organism in Eukaryota, Metazoa, Chordata, Actinopteri, Pleuronectiformes, Soleidae. The record is from RefSeq and is a predicted model, not a curated record.
ACUUUACUGCGCUGGAAAAACAAAAACAUUUGAACAUGUCAUUUUUAUGACCAUCCAUCUCUUGGCUUUAUUUGUUAGCUCAGCUGUUUUAGGGGUGACUCUGCAGUGCUGGGAACACAGGAUACACUGGCUUGAACCAUCCUGCUAUCUAAUAAUAAAGAAGAUAAAUCAUACGAACACGCUGCCCUAAAACACGGAGUGUAACUAAUGGCUUCAUACUAUGGGGCUGGAGGGGCACCUGAGAUGCUCAGGAGGAGUUUGCUCCUUCAGCUUUGAAGAUCUAUGCUUUCCACUUUGAUUAUCUAAACUCUUAAAUAGAAUAAGCAGAUGCUGUUGACUGUCUUCGAGAUGAUCGUCCAUUCUCAGAGUCCCGACACUUCUCUCGUCUGUCUCUUCCUCUCUCUCGAACUCUGCCC